This 292-nucleotide ribosomal RNA is filed under the name uncultured bacterium. Its description in RNAcentral is "partial 16S ribosomal RNA". It matches the Rfam family "Bacterial small subunit ribosomal RNA", at positions 505 to 796 of the family's 1533-position model. The record is from RNAcentral.
GUGCCAGCCGCCGCGGUAAUACGAAGGGGGCUAGCGUUGCUCGGAAUUACUGGGCGUAAAGGGAGCGUAGGCGGACAUUUAAGUCAGGGGUGAAAUCCCGGGGCUCAACCUCGGAACUGCCUUUGAUACUGGGUGUCUUGAGUGUGAUAGAGGUAUGUGGAACUCCGAGUGUAGAGGUGAAAUUCGUAGAUAUUCGGAAGAACACCAGUGGCGAAGGCGACAUACUGGAUCAUUACUGACGCUGAGGCUCGAAAGCGUGGGGAGCAAACAGGAUUAGAAACCCCCGUAGUCC